Molecule: ribosomal RNA, 253 nt
Filed under: uncultured bacterium
Lineage: Bacteria
Description: partial 16S ribosomal RNA
Rfam family: Bacterial small subunit ribosomal RNA
Source: RNAcentral
GACAGAGGGUGCAAACGUUGUUCGGAAUUACUGGGCGUAAAGCGAGUGUAGGCGGUUCGCUAAGUCGGGUGUGAAAGCCCCAGGCUCAACCUGGGAAGUGCACUCGAAACUGGCGGGCUAGAGUAUCGGAGAGGUUGGUGGAAUUCUCGGUGUAGAGGUGAAAUUCGUAGAUAUCGAGAGGAACACCGGUGGCGAAGGCGGCCAACUGGACGAAUACUGACGCUGAGACUCGAAAGCGUGGGGAGCAAACAGG